AUGAAUGCUGCUGGUUGAAAGCAUGUCUGUACCAUAGUUUUUACCUUUCUUUUGUUCUUGUUUGAACUUCAUUCAAUUUGGCCAAUUUAGCCUGAGAGAAAGUGGCUUUCAGUGAAAAGAAUGUUGGUGAAGAGAGAGCAGACAGCUGUGGCAAGAGAGAGUGAGGCUUUUGCUUGCAUAGUAAGGCAGAGCAGAGGCUGUCCCCAGAGAUCCCACACACAUCACAGGGACGGCAUCUGCAUGACUGGCUGAGUUGCUGUUUCUUUUGUUUUGAUUUCCCCCAGUCCCCCACCCUGCCCCAUCUCCAACAAAGCCAUAUUUAGUUAGUACUCUUAAGAAAAUCACAGCCUCAUUAGUUUACAAAGACAAUUAGGAACAAACAGACCAGUACUUGCUAACUUCUCAUCUUUAAAUAGACCAGACCCAGAGAGAUGAAUUGUUUGGAAAUGCUGAUAGAGGCAACAAUAAUAACAGCAGCUACCAUUUACCGAGAAUAUAUUAUAUGCCAGGCUCUGGUCUAAGCAUUACGUUCUUUAUUCUUCAAAGCAACCUCAUGAGGUGGGAGCUAUCACAACCCUGUUUUAAAACUGUAACAACAGGCUCAGAGAUUGUCAGUAACUCAUGAGAGCCACAAAGUUGAUAAGGAUUCAAGUCAGGACUUGAAUUGGCUAGGUUCUGAGAAGAGUAACCUGUGACUCUCUUAGGACAUUGUUUAUCAAAGAUGGGGGAACUGAGGCCCUACGAAGUUAAAUGAUCUGCCAAGUUAUCCCUGAAAAACAUUAAGGCCCUCAAGUUUCCUAGGUUUAGGACUGAACAACUCCGGGAAUCUGAAAGAUGAUGCAAAUAAAGAGGAAGACGGACAUAAUCUCGAAGGGAGAGAAAGGAGCUGGGAAUGGGGGAUCAUAUUCUAAUAGCUCAUCAUCACCACAUGAAACAUACAAUGCAGAGGAACUCUUCAAGGGGUGAAGGGAAAGUAUAAAACAAGACAGAAGAUUUCCUUUCUUCCAUGAGGAUAUAAUUCUAGUGGGAGAACCAAUAAGCAAACCAGCAGAAGAAUCUUAGACUGGGAGACGUGCUAAGCUGAGAACUGGGGCAGCCGGUGCCUGGGGAGCUACACUGGAACUGUGAUUGUGAAACCAAUUCAAAGAGGUAGCAUUUACAGUGAGACCUGAAUGACAAGAAGGAGCCAGAUGUGCAGUGAUUCUCCAGGAAGGAGUUCCAGGUAUCGAGAACAGCUGGCAUAAAUGUUUGAAGGUGGGUAUAGCAGCACUAUUCACAAUAGCCAGAAGGUGGAAACAACCCUAACGUCCAUCAGCAGUUGAAUGGAUAAACAAAAUGUGGUAUAUCCAUGCUAUGGAAUAUUAUUCAGCCUUAAAAACAAAUGAAGGACUGAUACAUGAUAAUGUCAGGCCUCCGAGCCCAAGCCAAGCCAUCUCAUCCCCUGUGACUUGCACGUAUACAUCCAGAUGGCCUGAAGUAACUGAAGAUCCACAAAAGAAGUAAAAAUAGCCUGAACUGAUGACAUUCCACCAUUGUGAUUUGUUCCUGCCCCACCCUAACUGAUCAAUGUAGUUUGUAAUCUUCCCACCCUUAAGAAGGUUCUUUGUAAUUCUCCCCACCCUUGAGAAUGUACUUUGUGAGAUCCACCCCUGCCCACAAAACAUUGCUCUUAACUUCACCGCCCAUCCCAAAACCUGUAAGAACUAAUGAUAAUCCAUCUCCCUUCGCUGACUCUUUUCGGACUCAGCCCACCUGCACCCAGGUGAAAUAAACAGCCAUGCUGCUCACACAAAACCUGUUUGGUGGUCUCUUCACACGGACACACAUGAAACUAUGACUUGGAUGAACCUUGAAAACAUUAGGUUAAGUGAAAGAAGCCAGUCACAAAAGAAGCCAGUCACAUACAUAUUGUGUGAUUCCUUUUAUAUGAACUAUCUGGAAUAGAUUAGUCCAUAGAGACAGA
RNAcentral lists this long non-coding RNA (1963 nucleotides) under Homo sapiens (human). RNAcentral describes it as "HSALNT0093241". Lineage: Eukaryota; Metazoa; Chordata; Mammalia; Primates; Hominidae. The record is from RNAcentral.